Molecule: ribosomal RNA, 253 nt
Filed under: uncultured bacterium
Lineage: Bacteria
Description: partial 16S ribosomal RNA
Rfam family: Bacterial small subunit ribosomal RNA
Source: RNAcentral
UACGUAGGUGACAAGCGUUGUCCGGAUUUACUGGGCGUAAAGAGCGCGCAGGCGGUCGAUCAAGUCGAGUGUGAAAGCCCCCGGCUCAACUGGGGAGGGUCAUUCGAAACUGAUCGACUUGAAGGCAGGAGAGGGUAGUGGAAUUCCCGGGGGAGUGGUGAAAUGCGUAGAUAUCGGGAGGAACCACAGUGGCGAAGGCGACUACCUGGCCUGUUCUUGACGCUGAGGCGGGAAAGCUAGGGGAGCAAACGGG